GCAGGGGUUCCCAAGCGGCCAACGGGGCGGGGUUCAGGGCUUCGUUGCGUAAGCAUUCGUGGGUUCGAAUCCCAUCCCCUGCA
Molecule: transfer RNA, 83 nt
Filed under: Candidatus Altarchaeum hamiconexum
Lineage: Archaea; Nanobdellati; Candidatus Altarchaeota; Candidatus Altarchaeia; Candidatus Altarchaeales; Candidatus Altarchaeaceae
Also listed under: 6 other names
Description: tRNA-Leu
Rfam family: tRNA
About the family: Transfer RNA (tRNA) molecules are approximately 80 nucleotides in length. Their secondary structure includes four short double-helical elements and three loops (D, anti-codon, and T loops).
Source: RNAcentral